UUGCAGUCUUUUCAAUUCAUAUAAUCCAAAUUUGUUGAUGUCAACUGCAUAGUAUAGAAUGGACCUCACCAGCGCCAUUUGGAGGAGGUACCCGUAACAAACUUUGGCUCUGUAAUGGAAACCAUACACACUGAUUCAGCCUACAGGUCCCCGUCGAAUAAUUUUUUUUGUUGGAGCUAAAACUAAAUUGUCUUCAGAUCAAACAAUCUCCAAUAAUGACAGAAGAGUUUUGAGAAAUUCUGAUGACAAGGAUCAAUUUGAUAAUUUAAGUGCAGAGGUGAAUUUUAUAUACAUGCCCCCUUAGUAUUUGUUUUGCACUUUCAUGUAAAGCUGUGACUCACAGUGACUGGAUUUAUUGUGCUGGAACAUCUCCAGGAUACUAUUCUCAGCAAUGUGAAUACUUUUGAAAGCGUUGACGCUAGCUUCUGCUUUAAGCAAUGUGGGCGUGACAGUAAAAUAAAGAGAAAAACAAAAAGAAAAAAACGUUUUUUUAGUUCGACUCCGAUCACUACCACAGGUUAAGGCUUCCCUCGGGACCAUGGGUUGCUUACGGGUGUAAUUACAGGCCACUCACCAACGCAAUUUUCAUAUCAGUAGCGGGAAUGGAACACAAUCUUCUCAGGAAAAUGAGUCAUUUUUAUCAACUGAGUCAACAUAUGCCGACACUAGAAAACAUUUUGGAAAUGUCUUGUUAUCUACUCAAAAAUGAAAGGCACACACCACCGGGAGUCUGUCAAAAAUUUUGCUCUGCUAGGGCACAACCCUAAGAGCAGCCGCCACCCCCUUUGGGGGGUCUCCUCCCUCAUGGGGGGAUCCCCUUCUCCUCUAGGGAGACCUUUUCUUCUGCUUGGUUGAUGCCUUCUCCCACAAUAGGUGGGUUUUCCUUCCACUCUAGGUGGAUCUCCUACCCAAAUAAGUGGGUUUUUCUUUUUUCUCUGUGUGUUGUUUGCCCUUUUCUUCGUCCACCAUGCCCCUGCUGCUACCAACACUGACCACCGUGCCACCUGCUGCGGCGUGGCCACCGGCUCCACCCACCACUGCCUUUAUCAUCGCUCGCCCUUUUCACAUGCCUGCCAUCGUGUUUCCUCCUCGCCGGCCCUUGUCACAUGCCUGCCACCACGUCAUCCCCCUCUUGCUUCCAUGACCGUCAAAUCUGCCCUCCUGCAUCCGUCUCGUCCGCUCCGUGAACACCAGAGCCGCCAUUCUGCAACCGUCUAAGCCGAUGAGUCUCGCCGCUGCUGCCGUUCUCACCGCUGCUGCUUCCAAUCUUACCCCUCCAUCUCUCUCUUCGUUCUCAGUAUUGCAGCUUUGCUGCGGGUGUUUUGGAAUCUUCAAAAGUUUCCUGUUUCUCCCCAGAUUCUCAGAUCUACAAGAUUGACCCCAUUUUGUGUUGUUGAAGCCUUGAUUUGAGCUUCACUAAUAGCUGCAUGUUUUGCAACUCCGGCAAAGUCGGUUGUUUUGCUUAUGGAAGCGCCGCGUAAAAAUGAAGAAUAGAUUUUAAUUGUCGCUUAGAAGUCAAUUGAUUAUCUGUUAAUGUUUGGGUUUUAAGGAUCUUUUGUAUGACCUUUAGGGUUUUGCAUCAUGCUUUCGCUGGAUGUUUCAGCUUGUUAAUUUGAGUAGGCAUGCCUGUGCUUUAUUUUCUUAUGUAUGUGCAUUGCAUAAUGCUCCUUGAGAUUUAUUCUCACAUGAUGUAAGUGCCGCUGGGUAACCCUUUGGGUAUUUAUUCCAA
Long non-coding RNA from Lotus japonicus, 1729 nucleotides. RefSeq lists it as uncharacterized. NCBI's taxonomy places the organism in Eukaryota, Viridiplantae, Streptophyta, Magnoliopsida, Fabales, Fabaceae. The record is from RefSeq and is a predicted model, not a curated record. The transcript is spliced from 3 exons.